Molecule: ribosomal RNA, 855 nt
Filed under: Klebsiella pneumoniae
Lineage: Bacteria; Pseudomonadati; Pseudomonadota; Gammaproteobacteria; Enterobacterales; Enterobacteriaceae
Description: partial 23S ribosomal RNA
Rfam family: Bacterial large subunit ribosomal RNA
Source: RNAcentral
ACACCAAAAUGCACAGGCUGUGAACUCGAAGAGUAGGGCGGGACACGUGGUAUCCUGUCUGAAUAUGGGGGGACCAUCCUCCAAGGCUAAAUACUCCUGACUGACCGAUAGUGAACCAGUACCGUGAGGGAAAGGCGAAAAGAACCCCGGCGAGGGGAGUGAAAAAGAACCUGAAACCGUGUACGUACAAGCAGUGGGAGCACCUUCGGGUGUGACUGCGUACCUUUUGUAUAAUGGGUCAGCGACUUAUAUUCUGUAGCAAGGUUAACCGUAUAGGGGAGCCGCAGGGAAACCGAGUCUUAACUGGGCGUUAAGUUGCAGGGUAUAGACCCGAAACCCGGUGAUCUAGCCAUGGGCAGGUUGAAGGUUGGGUAACACUAACUGGAGGACCGAACCGACUAAUGUUGAAAAAUUAGCGGAUGACUUGUGGCUGGGGGUGAAAGGCCAAUCAAACCGGGAGAUAGCUGGUUCUCCCCGAAAGCUAUUUAGGUAGCGCCUCGUGAAUUCAUCUUCGGGGGUAGAGCACUGUUUCGGCUAGGGGGUCAUCCCGACUUACCAACCCGAUGCAAACUACGAAUACCGAAGAAUGUUAUCACGGGAGACACACGGCGGGUGCUAACGUCCGUCGUGAAGAGGGAAACAACCCAGACCGCCAGCUAAGGUCCCAAAGUCAUGGUUAAGUGGGAAACGAUGUGGGAAGGCACAGACAGCCAGGAUGUUGGCUUAGAAGCAGCCAUCAUUUAAAGAAAGCGUAAUAGCUCACUGGUCGAGUCGGCCUGCGCGGAAGAUGUAACGGGGCUAAACCAUGCACCGAAGCUGCGGCAGCGACACUAUGUGUUGUUGGGUAGGGGAGCG